This 440-nucleotide ribosomal RNA is filed under the name uncultured bacterium. RNAcentral describes it as "partial 16S ribosomal RNA". It matches the Rfam family "Bacterial small subunit ribosomal RNA", at positions 339 to 795 of the family's 1533-position model. The record is from RNAcentral.
CUACGGGUGGCUGCAGUGAGGAAUAUUGCACAAUGGGGGGAACCCUGAUGCAGCAACGCCGCGUGGAGGAUGACGCAUUUCGGUGUGUAAACUCCUUUUAUAUGUCAAGAAAAUGACGGUAGCAUAUGAAUAAGCACCGGCUAACUCCGUGCCAGCAGCCGCGGGUAAUACGGAGGGUGCAAGCGUGACUCGGAAUCACUGGGCGUAAAGGACGCGUAGGCGGGUUGGAAAGUCAGGUGUGAAAUCCUACAGCUUAACUGUAGAACUGCACUUGAAACUUCUAAUCUAGAGUAUGGGAGGGGGAGAUGGAAUUAGUGGUGUAGGGGUAAAAUCCGUAGAUAUCACUAGGAAUACCUAAAGCGAAGGCGAUCUCCUGGAACAUUACUGACGCUAAGGCGUGAAAGCGUGGGGAGCAAACAGGAUUAGAUACCCUUGUAGUC